GACGAACGCUGGCGGCGUGCUUAACACAUGCCAGUCGAACGGAAAGGCCCUGCUUUUGUGGGGUGCUCGAGAGGCGAACGGGUGAGUAACACGUGAGUAACCUGCCCUUGACUUUGGGAUAACUUCAGGAAACUGGGGCUAAUACCGGAUAGGAGCUCCUGCUGCAUGGUGGGGGUUGGAAAGUUUCGGCGGUUGGGGAUGGACUCGCGGCUUAUCAGCUUGUUGGUGGGGUAGUGGCUUACCAAGGCUUUGACGGGUAGCCGGCCUGAGAGGGUGACCGGCCACAUUGGGACUGAGAUACGGCCCAGACUCCUACGGGAGGCAGCAGUGGGGAAUAUUGCACAAUGGGCGGAAGCCUGAUGCAGCAACGCCGCGUGCGGGAUGACGGCCUUCGGGUUGUAAACCGCUUUCGCCUGUGACGAAGCGUGAGUGACGGUAAUGGGUAAAGAAGCACCGGCUAACUACGUG
Molecule: ribosomal RNA, 468 nt
Filed under: uncultured bacterium
Lineage: Bacteria
Description: partial 16S ribosomal RNA
Rfam family: Bacterial small subunit ribosomal RNA
Source: RNAcentral